This 468-nucleotide ribosomal RNA is filed under the name uncultured bacterium. RNAcentral's name for it is "partial 16S ribosomal RNA". It matches the Rfam family "Bacterial small subunit ribosomal RNA", at positions 28 to 507 of the family's 1533-position model. The record is from RNAcentral.
GACGAACGCUGGCGGCGUGCUUAACACAUGCAAGUCGAACGGAAAGGCCCUGCUUUUGUUGGGUGCUCGAGUGGCGAACGGGUGAGUAACACGUGUGUAACCUGCCCUUGACUUUGGGAUAACUUCAGGAAACUGGGGCUAAUACCGGAUAGGAGCUCCUGCUGCAUGGUGGGGGUUGGAAAGUUUCGGCGGUUGGGGAUGGACUCGCGGCUUAUCAGCUUGUUGGUGGGGUAGUGGCUUACCAAGGCUUUGACGGGUAGCCGGCCUGGGAGGGUGACCAGCCACAUUGGGACUGAGAUACGGCCCAGACUGGUACGGGAGGCAGCAGUGGGGAAUAUUGCACAAUGGGCGGAAGCGUGAUGCAGAGACGCUGCGUGCGGGAUGACGGCCUUCGGGUUGUAAACCGCUUUCGCCUGUGACGAAGCGUGAGUGACGGUAAUGGGUCAAGAAGCACCGGCUAACUACGUG